Molecule: long non-coding RNA, 3121 nt
Filed under: Gallus gallus (chicken)
Lineage: Eukaryota; Metazoa; Chordata; Aves; Galliformes; Phasianidae
Description: lncRNA (ENSGALG00010007032.1)
Source: RNAcentral
UGUCACUUAAUUUUCUGCCGUAUGUUUCUUUCUCUGUGGAGGUUUUUUCCGUUAUUUCCGUUAUUAUUUCCGUUAUUUCUGUUUUUUCUGUUAUUUCCGUUGUUCUUCUUGGCCUGUCAUCUAAGUUACUGAAGUAUGUUUCUGUCUCUCUGGAUAUUAUUUCCGUUAUUUCCGUUAUUUCUGCUAUUUCUGUUUUUUCUGUUGUUCUUCUUGGCCUGUCAUCUAAGUUUCAGAUGUAUGUUUCUGUUUCUCUGGAGUUUGUUUCCGUUAUUAUUUCCGUUAUUUCCGUUAUUAUUUCAGUUAUUUCUGUAAUUAUCUUUGUUAUUUCCGUUGCUCUUCUUGGCCUGUCAUCUAAGUUUCUGCUGUAUGUUUCUGUCUCUCUGGAGUUUGUUUCCGUUGUUUCCCUUGUUUCCAUUGUGUCUGUUAAUUCCAUUGUUCUUCUUGGCCUGUCAUCUAAGUUUCUGCAAUAUGCUUCUGUCUCUCUGGUUGUUAUUUCCGUUAUUUCCGUUAUUUCCGUUAUUUUUGUUAUUUUCGCUCUAUCCGUUAUUUCCUUCAUUUUUCUUGGCCUGUCAUCUAAGUUUCUACUGUAUGUUUAUGUCUCUCUGAAGUUUGUUUCCGUUGUUUCCAUUGUUUCCUUGGUGUCCGUUAUUUCCGUUGUUCCUCUUGGGCUGUCAUCUAAACUUCUGCUGUAAGUUUCUGUCUCUCUGGAGGUUAUUUCCGUUAUUUCCAUUAUUUAUUUCCGUUAUUUCCGUUCUUUAUUUUAGUUAUUCUUGUUGUUUAUUUCCGUUAUUUCCAUUAAAUAUUUAUGUUAUUUCAGUUAUUUAUUUCCGUUAUUUCCGUUGUUCUUCUUGGCCUUUCACCUAAGAUUCUGCUGUAAGUGUCUGUCUCUCUGGAGGUUAUUUCCGUUGUUUCCGUUGUUUCCGUUCUUUCCGUUAUUUCUGUUAUUUCCAUUGUUCUUCUUGGCCUGUCAUCUAACUUUCUGCUGUAUGUUUCUUUCUUUCUCUCUGCAGUUUAUUUCCGUUAUUUCCAUUAUUUCUGUUAUUUUUGUUGUUCUUCUUGGCCUGUCAUCUAAAUUUCUGCUGUAUGUUUCUGUCUCUAUGGAGGCUGUUUCCGUUAUUUCCGUUAUUUCUUUUAUUUCCAUUGUUCUUCUUGGCCUGUCAUCUAAGUUUCUGCAGUAUUUUUAUGUCUCUCUGCAGGUUGUUUCCGUUGUUUCCAUUGUGUCUGUUAUUUCCGUUGUUCUUCUUGGCCUGUCAUCUAACUUUGUGCUGUAUGUUUCUGUCUCUCUGGAGGUUGUUUCCGUUAUUUCUGUUGUUCUUCUUGGCCUGUUAUCUAAGUUUCUGCAGUAUGUUUCUGUCUGUUGGGAGUUUACUUCCCUUGUUAUUUCUGUUAUUUCCGUUACUAAUUCCGUUAUUUCCGUAAUUAUUUCUGUUAUUUCCAUUGUUCUUCUUGGCCUGUCAUCUAAGUUUCUGCAAUAUGUUUUUGUCUCUCUGGUUGUUAUUUACGUUAUUAUUUCCUUUAUUAUUUCCAUCAUUAUUUUUUUUUCUUGUUGUUGUUGUUGUUGUUUCCGUUUUUUCUUUUUUUUUCCCAUUUUUUUCUGUUAUUUCCGUUACACUUCUUGGCCUGUCAUCGAAGUUUCUGCAGUAUGUUUCUUUCUCUCUGGAGGUUAUUUUCGUUAUUUCCGUUAUUUCCUUUAUUUUCCUUGGUCUGUCAUCUAAGUUUCUGCAGAAUAUUUCUGUGUCUCUGGUGGUUAGUUCCGUUAGUUCCGUGAGUUUCGUUGUUUAUUUCCAUUAUUUCUGUAAUUUAUUUCCUUUAUUAUUUUCGUUAUUCUUUCCGUUAUUCUUCUUGCCUGUCAUCUAAGUUUCUGCAGUAUGUUUCUGUCUCUCUGGAGGUUAUUUCCGUUAUUUCCGUUAUUUCCGUUAUUUCCAUUUUUUCAGUUAUUUUCUUUACUUUUCUUGGACUGUCAUCUAAGUUUCUGCUGUAUGUUUCUUUCUCUCUGGAGGUUAUUUCCGUUAUUUCCAUUAUUUCCGUUAUUUCAGUUAUUUUCUUUACUUUUCUUGGCCUGUCAUCUAAGUUUCUGCAGUAUGUUUCUUUCUCUCUGGAGGUUAUUUCCGUUAUUUCCAUUAUUUCCGUUAUUUCAGUUAUUUCCUUUAUUCUUCUUGGCCUGUCAUCUAAGUUUCUGCUGUAUGUUUCUGUAUAUCUGGAGGUUAUUUCCGUUAUUUCCAUUAUUUCCGUUAUUUCAGUUAUUUCCUUUAUUCUUCUUGGCCUGUCAUCUAAGUUUCUGCUGUAUAUUUCUGUCUCUCUGGAGGUUUUUUCCAUUAUUUUCGUUAUUUUGGUUAUUUCUGUAUUUUCGUUAUUUCCGUAAUUAUUUCCGUUAUUUCCGUUGUUCUUCUUGGCCUGUCAUCUAAGUUUCUGCUGUAAGUUUCUGUCUUGCUGGUUAUUAGUUCCUUUUGUUCCGUUAGAUCCGUUAUUUAUUUCCGUUAGUUCUGGAAUUUAUUUCCGUUAGUUCCGUUAUUUAUUUCCAUUACUUUCGUCUUUUAGUUCCCUUAUUUAGUUCCGUUAUUUAAUUCCGUUUUUUCCGUUGUUCUUGGACUGUCAUCUAAGUUUCUGAAGUAUGUUUCUUUCUCUCUGGAGUUUAUUUCCUUUCUUUCCCUUAUAAUUUCCCUUAUUAUUUCCCUUAUUAUUUCCCUUAUUUCCCGUAUUUUUUCCCUUAUUUCACUUAUUCUGUUAUUUCCCUCAUUUCCCUUUUUUCCGUUAUUUCCCUUAUUUCCGUUAUUUACCUUAUUUUCUUUAUUUCCCUUAUUUCUGUUGUUUCUGCUAUUUCUGUUUUUUCCAUUGUUCUUCUUGGCCUGUCAUCUAAGUUUCAGAUGUAUGUUUCUGUCUCUCUGGAGUUUGUUUCCGUUAUUAUUUCCAUUAUUAAUUCAGUAAUUUCCGUAAUUUACUUUAGUUAUUCCCGUUAUUUAUUUCCGUUUUUUCCAUUAUUUAUUUAUGUUAUUUCAGUUAUUUAUUUCCGUUAUUUCUGUAGUUCUUCUUGGCCUGUCAUCUCAGUUUCUGCAGUCUGUUUCUGUCUCUCUGGAGGUUAUUUCCGUUAUUUCCAUUAUUUCCGUUAUUUCUGUUAUUUCCG